Molecule: long non-coding RNA, 294 nt
Filed under: Drosophila guanche
Lineage: Eukaryota; Metazoa; Arthropoda; Insecta; Diptera; Drosophilidae
Source: RNAcentral
GCCUAAGCCCAAAACACAAACAAAUUUUUCAUAUUUUUGGCAGCCAUGUAAACAGAAAGCAACUGAAACAGACACAAAACGAAACGAAAAUGAAAAUGAAAACGAAUAAUAACAAGAGCAAAAAACAAUUAAUUAGACGGAUCCCAUCCCGGCCGAAACUGAACUGAAAUUCCAUUAAAGCAAAAUAUGAAGGACCUACCCGAACAAGGAAGGACAUUAAAUUGCCAGGAUUCUUCAUUUUCAAACAUUUUGGCAGGCGCUUUUCCAUCAUUCACUUUGGUAGCGGGAUUCAUC